ACCCGUGUUUAUCGUACCUUGUUGCUUCGGCGGGCCCGCCUCACGGCCGCCGGGGGGCAUCCGCCCCCGGGCCCGCGCCCGCCGAAGACACACAAACGAACUCUUGUCUGAAGAUUGCAGUCUGAGUACUUGACUAAAUCAGUUAAAACUUUCAACAACGGAUCUCUUGGUUCCGGCAUCGAUGAAGAACGCAGCGAAAUGCGAUAAGUAAUGUGAAUUGCAGAAUUCAGUGAAUCAUCGAGUCUUUGAACGCACAUUGCGCCCCCUGGUAUUCCGGGGGGCAUGCCUGUCCGAGCGUCAUUGCUGCCCUCAAGCACGGCUUGUGUGUUGGGCUCUCGCCCCCCGCUUCCGGGGGGCGGGCCCGAAAGGCAGCGGCGGCACCGCGUCCGGUCCUCGAGCGUAUGGGGCUUCGUCACCCGCUCUGUAGGCCCGGCCGGCGCCCGCCGGCGAACACCAUCAAUCUUAACCAGGUUGACCUCGGAUCAGGUAGGGAUACCCGCUGAACUUAAGC
This is a ribosomal RNA of 511 nucleotides. The stretch from base 147 to 300 matches the Rfam family "5.8S ribosomal RNA".